UACGUAGGUGGCAAGCGUUGUCCGGAUUUACUGGGCGUAAAGGGCGUGCAGGCGGUUUGUUAAGUCUAGGGUGAAAGCUCCCGGCUCAACUGGGAGAGGUCCUUGGAUACUGGCAGACUUGAGGAGAGUAGAGGAGAGUGGAAUUCCUGGUGUAGCGGUGAAAUGCGCAGAUAUCAGGAAGAACACCCGUGGCGAAGGCGGCUCUCUGGGACGGUACUGACGCUGAGACGCGAAAGCGUGGGGAGCGAACAGG
This 253-nucleotide ribosomal RNA is filed under the name uncultured bacterium. RNAcentral's name for it is "partial 16S ribosomal RNA". It matches the Rfam family "Bacterial small subunit ribosomal RNA", at positions 524 to 776 of the family's 1533-position model. The record is from RNAcentral.